Biomphalaria glabrata is the source of this 1314-nucleotide long non-coding RNA. RefSeq lists it as uncharacterized. The transcript is spliced from 3 exons. The record is from RefSeq and is a predicted model, not a curated record. Lineage: Eukaryota; Metazoa; Mollusca; Gastropoda; Planorbidae.
CAUUAGAGCUGGGUGGACUCAGAGGAGCCCUAGAGAUUCCGAAAUUCAAAAUCCAAGUCUUAACCAGGAUUCGAACCUACCAAAUCAAUGCAAAACGUCCCUUUUUCUUGUACUGACCACGUGUAGACUGGUCAACCGUCAAAAUGAUAACAUGGUUUGUUUUGAUGAAAAUAUUCGUGUGUAGUUUAUUGACACAGAAAUUGUUAAGUAUAUUGACACAGGAAGUGUGUAGUUUAUUGACACAGGAAUUGUGUAAUUUAUUGACACAGGAAGUGUGAAGUUUAUUGACACAGGGAGUUCGUAGGUUAGUGACACAGAAAAUAUGUAGUAGGAAGUGUGUAGUUUAUCAACAUAAGAUGUGUGUAGUUCAUUACCAAAGGAUGUGUCUAGUUUGAUGACACAGGAGAUGUGUAGUUUAUUGACACAUGAAGUGUGUAUCUUAUCGAAAUUGACAAAGGAAAUGUGUAAUUUAUUGAAACAGGAAAUGUAUAGUUUAUUGAUACAGAAAGUGUGUAGUUUAUUGACACAGGAAGUGUGUAGUAUAUUGACACAGGAAACAUGUAAGAGGAGAUAGAGAAAAAGAAAGAAGUUUCUGUGGGGUGAUUUUUUUGAGUGGAUGUUGUUUUGUGAAUUUUGGUGCUCAUUUGGACUGGUCACUGGAAUGUCUUUUCAUCUUAUUGGACUCAAAUAACGCAUUGGGCGUUCUGUUAAGAAGCCCCAACCGGAUAAUUAGAAGCAAUUCAAAUGAAAUAGGUGGCAGUGGUGGCCCGGGGCCCAAUUUGGAGCAAUCUGCCAAAUGCCGGCACUGUCUACACGUCAAGUAUCUUACCUCAAACCAGGAGGUGCCGUUGGUGCAGUUGAAUGGAAUCUUAUAGCGCUCAAAGGAGUUGAGACACUUGAGGGAGUUCCAAUCGUUACCACAGUGACCCCAGGGCAAGACUGACGUGAAGGAGUGACACAAGUAGAACACUGUCCAGGCCAAGAUAACGAUGUACUUUGGGUUCCAACUAAAUCUAUGAGCUUGCAAACUCUUCAUGGGUACAUUGGAAACAGUUGUAACGAGACUAGAAUGUUGUAGAGAAAUGAUAUAAGCAGUUUACCAGAUCAACUUCCAAUUUCCAUUAAUCAAUGUAAGGAGUAGAUCCAUACGUUUUAAUAGAAUUGUUUUCGGUCCAUUUCAUUUCGUUUUUUUGUUUUUACAUUUUUAGUCAUUUGGCCCGCGACACGAGCAUCGGAAAUUAUAAUGGCCUGCAGGUCGAAUAAGGUUGGAUAUAACUGUACUAGACUUAAGCAAUAUUUAAAAUUCAUCGAACG